CCUACGGGAGGCAGCAGUGAGGAAUAUUGGUCAAUGGGCUUACGCCUGAACCAGCCAAGUCGCGUGAGGGAAGACUGUCCUAUGGGUUGUAAACCUCUUUAGUCAGGGAGCAAUUGCGGCCACGUGUACCGGUAUCGAGAGUACCUGCAGAAAAAGCAUCGGCUAACUCCGUGCCAGCAGCCGCGGUAAUACGGAGGAUGCGAGCGUUAUCCGGAUUUAUUGGGUUUAAAGGGUGCGUAGGCGGAAUGCCAAGUCAGCGGUAAAAUCGCUGGGCUCAACCCCGCUCGGCCGUUGAAACUGGCGUUCUUGAGUGGGCGAGAAGUAUGCGGAAUGCGUGGUGUAGCGGUGAAAUGCAUAGAUAUCACGCAGAACUCCGAUUGCGAAGGCAGCAUACCGGCGCCCGACUGACGCUGAGGCACGAAAGCGUGGGGAUCGAACAGGAUUAGAUACCCUUGUAGUC
This 460-nucleotide ribosomal RNA is filed under the name uncultured bacterium. Its description in RNAcentral is "partial 16S ribosomal RNA". It matches the Rfam family "Bacterial small subunit ribosomal RNA", at positions 338 to 795 of the family's 1533-position model. The record is from RNAcentral.